AGAACUACCGGUGACGUUAACGACCGGUUCUACAGAACCAGUGCGAACCGGUAGAAACCCACCCGUGAAUGAUAUGAAAAAU
Notechis scutatus (mainland tiger snake) is the source of this 82-nucleotide non-coding RNA. NCBI's taxonomy places the organism in Eukaryota, Metazoa, Chordata, Lepidosauria, Squamata, Elapidae. The record is from RefSeq and is a predicted model, not a curated record.